Molecule: long non-coding RNA, 344 nt
Filed under: Homo sapiens (human)
Lineage: Eukaryota; Metazoa; Chordata; Mammalia; Primates; Hominidae
Description: non-protein coding lnc-RTL8B-2:1
Source: RNAcentral
AUGCACAUUUGGACGCUGUCCUGCACUUCAGGUGCAAGCUGGGCUCCUGUUACAUACUGGACAGACCACCCACAGCCGCUGCUGCCAACCCACCUCCACUCCUCCAGACUGCCAGCCAACUACAUCAUUCUGCCCACAGACCUACGCUACCACUGCCAUCGCCAUCCACCGCAUCUCACCAACAGACUGUGGCUCCUAGUGAUGUGGACUCACCUCGGAGGUAUCCGAGCUGGACACAGCCCCUGGACAGUGAUCCAGACAGCUGGCCGUCCCCCAAGGAGCCUGUCACCUUCAGCGAGACCCAUUUCCUCCCCAUCCCCAGAGACCUCUUGUGUUCCUGCCAC